RNAcentral lists this transfer RNA (72 nucleotides) under Monomastix sp. OKE-1. Its description in RNAcentral is "tRNA-Arg". It matches the Rfam family "tRNA". Rfam says of the family: Transfer RNA (tRNA) molecules are approximately 80 nucleotides in length. Lineage: Eukaryota; Viridiplantae; Chlorophyta; Mamiellophyceae; Monomastigales; Monomastigaceae. The record is from RNAcentral.
GGGCUUAUCGUUUAAUGGAUAGGACAGAAACCUUCUAAGUUUCUAAUCUAGGUUCGAUUCCUAGUGAGCUCA